RNAcentral lists this ribosomal RNA (2010 nucleotides) under Triticum aestivum (bread wheat). RNAcentral describes it as "partial small subunit ribosomal RNA". Lineage: Eukaryota; Viridiplantae; Streptophyta; Magnoliopsida; Poales; Poaceae. The record is from RNAcentral.
AUGGCUACCGUAUCAGCAGUCAGUGUUGUAGGAUGGGUUGUUUCUCCUAUUAUUAGAAGGAUGGUUUCUUUGGUGCAGUCCUAUAUGUCAAGCCAGUACAAUUGGAAAUCUGGGAUAUUAUCUGAUCUCAAGAAUUUGGAGGCCACUUUAAUGGAUAUACUCCUUGUAGUUGGAGCAGCAGAAAGGCAACAUGUAGUGGACAGAAAUCAGAUAUUGUUACUGCAGCAGAUGAAAGAUGCAGUCUCUGAUGCAGAAGAUGUUUUGGAUGAGUUUGAUCAUAUGCUUUUAAAAGAGAAGGUUGAGCAAAAAGGCCUUCUCAGACGCAUAGGCUCCUCUUCUCUUUCUGUUGGUAAGCGUCUGGUCAACAUUGACAACUUCAGGUCAAAUUUGCGGAAGGUCCUCAAAAGCUUGGAAAGGGUUAGAGCUUCUGCAGAAACGUUUGUCCGAGUGAUGGCAUUGCAGGGCUUUAACCCCAUUCAGUCCGUACAAUGUGUCCCAGUAAGAACCACUGGAUCCCUUUUGCAUGAAGAUGCGAUUUUUGGGCGAGAAAAGGAGAUAGAUGAGCUCGUGGGUCAGCUGCUGUAUAAAUCCGAUAAAUGUUUGUCAAAUGCUUAUCAGUCGGUCAGGACAGAGGUGCACACUAUUGUUGGUGUUGGGGGCAUCGGGAAGACUACUCUGGCUCAGCUGAUCUAUAAUGAUGAGCGCAUCCUGGAUUCUUUUGACGUGAGAAUGUGGGUUAGUGUUUCCAACAACUUUGACAAAAUUAGAAUUACCAAAGAGAUCAUAUCAUACCCAACCGAUAGUGAGAAUGCUGAAUUGACUAAUUUUAAUUUCAGUAAGCUCCAGGACGAACUUAGAUGGAGACUUCGUUCCAAGAGGUUUCUCUUAGUGUUGGAUGAUGUGUGGUAUGAUGAGAAAUAUGGAGAGCACAUCAACAAACAAAUGUGGAUGGAAAUAAUGGCUCCUAUUAAGGAAAGGUUUACAAGGCCAGGAAGCAUGAUUCUAGUGACAACCCGAACAGAAUUGGUUGCAAAAAUGCUGGACUCUAGAAGCUUGUUCAUUUUAGAAGGUCUGGGAAGGGAUGAUAGUUGGUUGCUAUUCAGGCGAUGUGCAUUUGGCAGCAGGAAGCCAGAAGGUUAUCCAGAGUUGAAGCAGUUAGGCUACCAAAUUGUUCAAAAACUUAAAGGCUCACCUCUAGCCCUAAAGGUUGUUGGAGGUCAUUUAAAUGGAAAAUACAGUGAUGCAGAGUGGGAGGAUGUUCUUCAAAGAGAUGUCCUCAAUCCAAAUGAUAUCUUGACUAUCUUAUACUUGAGUUAUGAAAGUUUGCCGGAACACCUCCAGCAGUGCUUUGCAUAUUGUAGUUUAUUCCCAAAGGGUUACCGUAUUGAUUCAAAGAGAUUGAUCUGGAUGUGGAUAGCUCAGGGCCUUGUUCAUCUAGAAGGAAAUAACAGUAGAAAUUUGGAAGAUAUUGGAAGGGGCUAUUUCAAUGAUCUGUUAGCUCGAUCAUUUUUCCAAGUGCUUCGUUGUGGAGAUCAAACAUAUUACGUUAUGCAUGAUUCAUUGAAUGGUCUCGCACUUCAUGUUUCCAAUGGGGAAUGCUUCAGGGUUGAUCAUGGCAGUGUUGGGGAGUUUCCUCAUUACAUUAGGCAUUUGUCUGUGUCUGCUGAACGACUGGGAGAUCUUGUGAACUAUGAUGGUCUCCAGAGAUUGCGUACAUUUAUGAUUCUGAAUGAUUCUUGGUUCUGCUCCAAAGUCUGUUUAAGUCAUGAUAUACUCAAUAAACUCAAGAGUGUGCGGGUACUUGAUGUAAGCGGAUGCUGCUUUGGAAGGUUUCCUGAAGCUGUCAAUGAUCUGAUGCACCUGCGUUAUCUAGCCAUUCGACGCACUUAUUACCCACUGCCAACAACAAUCUCCAGACUCAAUCAUCUACAGUCCUUGUUUGUGUUGUAUAAUUCAUGUUACUCUGCGAGGAUAUCUUGCUCAAACAAGUGGAAACAGCGGAAAUAUUGA